UUCAUUUAGAUCAUGCGAGAAUUUAGAGUUACCUCUUCGUGAACAUUGAUUCACCAAAAAAAUGACUGCUACAAUCUACUGAUUUCCAAAGUUAAUAACUAAUGUAUUAACUUUAAAGAGCCAUGAAUCCAAAACCGUGAACAAAACCUCGAACUCUAUACUCAAUUCACAAAACAAAACUCACUAGAUUUUUCUCUUUGCUUUUUCUACCAUUUUUUCUGUCUUAUUUUUUCUUUACUGUAGGUGUGUUUUUAUAAUCUUUUACGUUUUUCUUCUUCUUUUAUUUUUUUCUUUCAACAUUUGCGAUGCACCUCGAUCGAAUGUGAAACAAUGACGAACUGGUCCGCCAAUCAACUCGUGGUAUGGACCAGCGUGGAUUGAGAAGGAGGAAUGGGCAAAGCCCGGGCUCUCGAUACGCUUGUUGAAUGUCGUCUCCUUGAUUGUGGUUAGCAGCGUGCACCUCUGUUAUGCUUCGACAUCUGCGCGCUUCAGACACUGGCAUGUGAACUCCUCAUUUGACGUGUCUUGAACACGAACCAAGGAGUCUAACAUGUGUGCGAGUCAAUGAGCGAGUAAACCCGUAAGGCAUAAGGAAGUUGAUUGGUGGGAUCCCCCUGAGGGGUGAAUCGCCAACCGAUCUUGAUCUUCUGAGAAGGGUUCGAGUGUGAGCAUACCUAUCGAGACCUGAAAGAUGGUGAACUAUGCCUGAGCGCGGCGAAGCUAGAGGAAACUCUGGUGGAGGCCCGCAGUGAUACUGACAUGCAAAUCGUUCGUCUGACAUCGGUAUAGGAGUGAAAGACUAAUUCAACCGUCUAGUAGCUGGUUCCCUCCAAAGUUUCCAUCAUGAUAUCGGGUAAAGACAAUGAUUAGAGGUCUCGAGGGAACAAUGCCCUUGACCUAUUCUCAAACUUUAAAUAGGUAGGACUGCGCGAAUGCUUUGUUGAGUCGCGCCACGAAAUCAAGAGCUCCAAGUGGGCCAUUUUGGUAACCAUAACUGGCGAUGUAGGAUAAACCGGAAGUCGGGUUACGGUGCCAACUGUGUGCUAACCUAGAUCCCACAAAGGGUGUUGAUCGAUUAAGAUAGCAUGACGGUGGUCAUGAAAGUCGAAAUCUGCUAAGGACUGUGUAACAACUCACCUGUCGAUAAAAUAGAUCUGUAUCUUCGGGAAAAGGAUUGUGUCUUAGGAAUAGGCAUGGGGUCCCAGUCUUGAACCCGUUAGCUAUCAGUGGACUGCUCGAGCUGCUCCUGCAGCUACAGCGAGUCACCGCAUGCCGACCAGGGGACGGACUGGGAACAGUUCCUUCGAGGGCCUACCCCAGGCAUCAAACAGCAACCUCAGAACCGGUACGAACAAGGGGAAUUCAAUUCUUUAAUUAAAACAAAACAUUUCGAUGGUCCCAACAAUUGUUUACGCAAUGUGAUUUCUUCCCAGUGCUCAGAAUGUCAAAGUGAAGAAAUUCAACCAAGCGCUGGUAAACGGCGGGAGUAACUAUGACUCUUUUAAGGUAGCCAAAUGCCUACUCAUCUAAUUAGUGACACACAUGAAUGGUUAAUGAGAUUACCAUUGUCCCUGUCUACUAUCCAGCGAAACCACAUCCAAGGGAAUGGGCAUGGCAGAAUCAGCGGGGAAAGAAGACCCUAUUGAGCUUGACUCUAGUCCGACUUUGUGAAAUGACUUGAGAGGUGUAGUAUAAGUGGGAGCCGAAAGGCGAAAGUGAAAUACCACUACUUUUAACGUUAUUUUACUUAUUCCGUGACGACUCUAGUCCAACUUUGUGAAAUGACUUGAGAGAUGUAGUAUAAGUGGGAGCUGAAAGACGAAAAGAGGGGCACUGCCCCUCUUUUUGGACCCAAUGCUCGCUUCACGGUCUCAUAUGGGCGAAAGACAUUAUCAUGUGAGGAGUUAGGCUAGGGCGGCACAUCUAUUAACGAGAACAUAAAUCUUGUGUGGAAUAGAAGGGUAAAAGCUCGUUUAAUUCUGAUUUCUAGUACGAAUAUGAACUGUGAAAGUGUGGCGUAACAAUCCUUUAGACCUUCAGAAUUCGAAGCUAGAGGUGUCAGAAAAGUUAACACAAGGAUAACUAGGUUGUGGCAGCCAAGCAUUCAUAGCGACGUUGCUUUUUGAUCCUUCAAUGUCAUCUCUUCCUAUGAUUGUGUAGUAGAAUUCACAAGUGUUGGAUUGUUCACCCACCAAUAGGGAACGUGAGAUGGGUUUAGAACAUCGUAACACAUGUUAGUUUUACCCUACUAAUGAUAGUACGAGAGGAACUGUUGAUUCACACAACUGGUCAUCGCGCUUGGUUGAAAAGUCGGUGGCGCGAAGCUACCAUGUGAUGGAUUAUGAUUGAAUGCCUCUAAGUCAGAAUCUGAUCUAGAAGCGACGCAUGCGCCAACCUUCUGCUUGUCGACCUAUAGUAGGGGCCUUUGGCCCCCAAGGGCACAUGUUGUUGGCUAAGUCGCCGCAACAGAAGCGUCGUGGUUACUGCCUUGAAGUACAAUUUCUAUCGAGCGGCGGGUAGAAUCCUAUGCAGAUGACUUAAAUACGCGAUGGGGUAUUGUAAGUGGCAGAGUGGCCUUGCUGCCACAAUCCACUAAGAUUCAGCCCUUUGUCACUAUGAUUCGU
Non-coding RNA from Solanum tuberosum (potato), 2624 nucleotides. The record is from Rfam. Lineage: Eukaryota; Viridiplantae; Streptophyta; Magnoliopsida; Solanales; Solanaceae.